GGACGAUGAGGAUAGAGGAAGUCGGGGCAACCCGGCUGGGCGUGAAAUUCAGC
Molecule: non-coding RNA, 53 nt
Filed under: unclassified sequences
Description: leuA-Halobacteria RNA
Rfam family: leuA-Halobacteria RNA
Source: RNAcentral